Heterocephalus glaber (naked mole-rat) is the source of this 1944-nucleotide non-coding RNA. The record is from RefSeq and is a predicted model, not a curated record. Lineage: Eukaryota; Metazoa; Chordata; Mammalia; Rodentia; Bathyergidae.
GCGAGGGGCUGGCGCGGUGCUUGUCGGGAGGACGGCGUGCGGGGUCGGCUCUGGGCGGUGGUGGCUCUGGGAGCCAUGGUGGGUGGCGAGGCCGCUGCCGCGGUGGAGGAGCUGAUUUCCGGGGUGCGACAGGCGGCCGACUUCGCCGAGCAGUUCCGGUCCUACUCCGAAAGCGAGAAGCAAUGGAAGGCUCGCAUGGAAUUCAUCCUGCGCCACCUGCCCGACUACCGCGACCCGCCAGACGGAGGCGGCCGCCUGGACCAGCUGCUGUCCCUCUCCAUGGUCUGGGCCAAUCACCUCUUCUUGGGCUGCAGUUACAAUAAAGGCCUUCUGGACAAGGUAAUGGAAAUGGCGGAUGGAAUCGAAGUGGAAGACUUGCCACAGUUUACCACCAGAAGUGAAUUAAUGAAAAAGAAACAGAAGUCGAGCCAUCUCCGACUCCACAGGCUACUCUUGUCCCGUACCCAAGCAUCAAAGCUAAGGAUUUCGCACAUUUUCAUCAUCGGCUGCAGGUUUAGAAAGGAGGCUGGGAUGAACUGACCACACCAGCUCCUUAAGAACCCUGGUAUCACCAACACAAGGAUGCGGUGGGAAUCUGUCUGGAUUGGCUUUUUAAAAGUCUUCAUUCUUCGAGUAGCUGUCACUGUGAAACACCAACCCAGAACCAUAACAUCGCCAACUAUGUUCUACAGUGAUUUCCCACAGGCCACCCAGAACUGCACACCUUUACGAUAUUUUCUUCUUCAGGAGUGCUGCCAUCCACCUGAGCCGGUGGACUGUGGUAUUCUUGGCAAAAGAUCUUGUUUGAAAAGGAGGAAGGGAAGAAGGUAACUCCAUCUUCAGAGCUUAAGAGAAGCCUUUUGGUGGUUUAUUUUCUUUAAUUUUGAGACAGGGUCUCCGUCUGUAAUUCAGGCUAGCCUCAAACUCACAGUGAUCCUCCUGCCUCAGCCUUCCAAGUGCUGGGAUAACAGGCGUAUGCCAUCACCUGGGCCCUUGCUUUUAAGAGGUGCGCCUUAAAUGUGCUAGUGUUUUCCUUUUGGUAGCUUUUGAGACCUCAUAGAGAGGGUUCUGUGUCCAGGAAGGGUGACUGACUAAGGGGUUUAGUUUCAGAGGCUCUGAUCCCCUUAACACAAGUUCCCAACCCGAGGCACCGUAAGGACCGCAGUCUUCCAGGUAAGACUCAAGACAGGCCAGCUCCCUCAAGGACUACAGCAGCAUCUCGGUAUUGUGUACCUGUGCACUGCUGGGGACCACACCCAGGGCCCUGUGCCUGCGGAAGUGGGCACCUGAUGACAGCUACACACACCCACAACCAUCAGACAUGUAACCAGGACUGUUACUGUGUUAGACCUUUCUCUAAUCAGCCAGUUACUUGCUUUCUCUCAGCAGUACUUGGUAUGUGCUUUUACGGGUCAAUGCAGAAAUCGAUGAUAGAAAGCACCAAGUGGCCAAGCUUUACCACUCAGUGACAGAGUUCCUUAAAGUCAUUCCAUGUGCAAGUUUCUCAUCCAAGCCUGAACCUUCACAUGCUAAAGAGGGGCUUACAGCCAAAGUCCCUCCAGGGUUCCUUUUUUUUUUUUUUAAAGACUCUCGUUAUGUAGCCCAGGCCAGGUUAGAACUGCUGUCCUCCUGCCUCAGCCUUACAGAGUACUGGCAUCACAGGUGUGUACCACAUGGGUGGCUCUUCCAGGGCUCUUGAUUUCAAUUAUCAUGGAGCAAAUGUUGAACCGUGUGUGGCACAAUCACAUCCUAGGAAGCUUUAUAAAGGCACACAAAUGAUUCUUCUUUUUCGCCCAGCUAAGAAAAUCACUAACCCAUCCUAUGAACAGAGAAAACAUUAAAAUUUCACAACAGGCUGGGCGUGGUAGCGCAUGUCUGUAAUCCCUGUACUUGGGAGGCUGAGCAGGAGGAUCACUAGGAGUUUGAGGCCAGUCUGAGCUCCAC